Molecule: long non-coding RNA, 227 nt
Filed under: Capsicum annuum
Lineage: Eukaryota; Viridiplantae; Streptophyta; Magnoliopsida; Solanales; Solanaceae
Description: long non-coding RNA (CANN_LNC013386)
Source: RNAcentral
AGCAGCCAAGCCCCCAAACCAAGUUUGCUACAAGGGUUGGAUUAUCGGCAUGGGAGACACGCCAGUCCACAAAGCAGGGUGCCAUAAUUCCCAAUUAUAAUAAUAUGUCAUGGCAGGGCACAAUACCACAAAGCAUGGACCCUAACCAUAGUCCAUUUUGGAGUACAUAAAUCAAGGCACACAAGACCACAUAACAUGGUGGCAAAAAUCCCAAGUUGGCAAACCAC